This 597-nucleotide ribosomal RNA is filed under the name Salmonella enterica subsp. enterica serovar Chester. Its description in RNAcentral is "partial 23S ribosomal RNA". It matches the Rfam family "Bacterial large subunit ribosomal RNA", at positions 678 to 1271 of the family's 2925-position model. Lineage: Bacteria; Pseudomonadati; Pseudomonadota; Gammaproteobacteria; Enterobacterales; Enterobacteriaceae. The record is from RNAcentral.
CGAGUCUUAAUUGGGCGUUAAGUUGCAGGGUAUAGACCCGAAACCCGGUGAUCUAGCCAUGGGCAGGUUGAAGGUUGGGUAACACUAACUGGAGGACCGAACCGACUAAUGUUGAAAAAUUAGCGGAUGACCUGUGGCUGGGGGUGAAAGGCCAAUCAAACCGGGAGAUAGCUGGUUCUCCCCGAAAGCUAUUUAGGUAGCGCCUCGUGAAUUCAUCUCCGGGGGUAGAGCACUGUUUCGGCUAGGGGGCCAUCCCGGCUUACCAACCCGAUGCAAACUGCGAAUACCGGAGAAUGUUAUCACGGGAGACACACGGCGGGUGCUAACGUCCGUCGUGAAGAGGGAAACAACCCAGACCGCCAGCUAAGGUCCCAAAGUCAUGGUUAAGUGGGAAACGAUGUGGGAAGGCCCAGACAGCCAGGAUGUUGGCUUAGAAGCAGCCAUCAUUUAAAGAAAGCGUAAUAGCUCACUGGUCGAGUCGGCCUGCGCGGAAGAUGUAACGGGGCUAAACCAUGCACCGAAGCUGCGGCAGCGACGCUGAUGCGUUGUUGGGUAGGGGAGCGUUCUGUAAGCCUGCGAAGGUGGCCUGUGAGGGUU